RNAcentral lists this long non-coding RNA (323 nucleotides) under Mustela putorius furo (domestic ferret). RNAcentral describes it as "lncRNA (ENSMPUG00000029753.1)". The record is from RNAcentral. Lineage: Eukaryota; Metazoa; Chordata; Mammalia; Carnivora; Mustelidae.
GCCCACUUCACAAAGUGGACCUGUCCCCACUUCACAAAGACACUUAGAAAUAACCUGCGGCGACCGUUAGGUUCACAUCAGAGUGUUUGGAAGAGUUGACAAUGAGCGGAACGUCACAGCCCGCGCGUGGGGUCCAGCUGUGUCCGUCCUCACUUUUCAUGCUCGAAGAGAGACUCUGAAGCAGCCUCCUCACCAAGCACCAAGCCCAGUGCGGGACUUGUCCUCACCACCGCAGGAUCACAACCCAGCUGAAACCCAGAGUCGGUGCCCAACUGACUGAGCCACCCAUGUGCCCCCAUUUUGGCCCCUUUAAAGUCUUUCCU